GCGAUCAUACCAGUACUAAUGCACCGGAUCCCAUCAGAACUCCGAAGUUAAGCUUGCUUGGGCGAGAGCAGUACUAGGAUGGGUGACCCCCUAGGAAGUCCUCGUGUUGCACCU
This 114-nucleotide ribosomal RNA is filed under the name Zingiber officinale. Lineage: Eukaryota; Viridiplantae; Streptophyta; Magnoliopsida; Zingiberales; Zingiberaceae. The record is from RNAcentral.